UCGGGAAUUUUGGGCAAUGGGCGAAAGCCUGACCCAGCAACGCCGCGUGAGGGAUGAAGUAUUUUGGUAUGUAAACCUCGAAAGAAUGGGAAGAAUAAAUGACGGUACCAUUUAUAAGCUCCGGCUAACUACGUGCCAGCAGCCGCGGUAAUACGUAGGGAGCAAGAGUUGUUCGGAUUUACUGGGCGUAAAGGGCGCGUAGGCGGCGCGGUAAGUCACUUGUGAAAUCUCUGAGCUUAACUCAGAACGGCCAAGUGAUACUGCUGUGCUAGAGUGCGGAAGAGGCAACCGGAAUCCUUGGUGUAGCGGUGAAAUGCGUAGAUAUCAAGAGGAACACCUGAGGCGAAGGCGGGUUGCUGGGCCGACACUGACGCUGAUGCGCGAAAGCCAGGGGAGCAAACG
This 402-nucleotide ribosomal RNA is filed under the name uncultured bacterium. RNAcentral's name for it is "bacterial SSU rRNA". It matches the Rfam family "Bacterial small subunit ribosomal RNA", at positions 355 to 774 of the family's 1533-position model. The record is from RNAcentral.